Otolemur garnettii (small-eared galago) is the source of this 98-nucleotide unclassified non-coding RNA. It matches the Rfam family "Y RNA". Rfam says of the family: Y RNAs are components of the Ro ribonucleoprotein particle (Ro RNP), in association with Ro60 and La proteins. The Y RNAs and Ro60 and La proteins are well conserved, but the function of the Ro RNP is not known. Lineage: Eukaryota; Metazoa; Chordata; Mammalia; Primates; Galagidae. The record is from Ensembl.
GGCCGGUUCCAGAGCACUGGUGUUCACAACUAGUUCAUGACCAGUUACAGGUUCCUUGUUCCUUCUCCACUCCCACUGCUUCCCUUGACUAGCCUUUA